GCCGGCGUAGCUCAAUCGGCAGAGCAGCGGAUUUGUAAUCCGAAGGUUGGGGGUUCGACUCCCCCCGCCGGCUCCA
This 76-nucleotide transfer RNA is filed under the name Zetaproteobacteria bacterium. Its description in RNAcentral is "tRNA-Thr". It matches the Rfam family "tRNA". From Rfam's summary of the family: Transfer RNA (tRNA) molecules are approximately 80 nucleotides in length. Their secondary structure includes four short double-helical elements and three loops (D, anti-codon, and T loops). Lineage: Bacteria; Pseudomonadati; Pseudomonadota; Candidatius Mariprofundia. The record is from RNAcentral.